Molecule: long non-coding RNA, 1984 nt
Organism: Bos taurus (domestic cattle)
Lineage: Eukaryota; Metazoa; Chordata; Mammalia; Artiodactyla; Bovidae
Source: Ensembl
GUAAUUCAAGCAUGCCAUGGGGUUUUGCCAGCCCUCAGACUCCCACAACUGAGUGUUCUUGUGCUAUUUACGUAGCUGAGUUCUGUCCAGGGGAAGUCCAUGAUAGCCUAUCAACAACUUUCCAAACUGUAUUCUCUUCAAACGGUCUGAUAAUCUCGGGUGACCUAUUUCCCUUUUCUGUUCAUGGAAAACUCAGACCCAAAGCAGCAGGUCUGGGCAAUUGACAGAGAUGAGUAGAAGUUUUGACCUCUCGCUCAGUGCCUCUUGUUCUCUUUACUUUGAAAACUACCAUAGCCUGACUCAAAAUUUAUUCUGGAGGGCUGUGUGAUUGUGUGUGCGUGCGUGUGUGUGUAAAAAGUCACAUCGUGGUGCAUGGGGUGCAAGCCCCCGGGCACACAGAUUUUGAGCUGUAAUCUGGAUGGUGCUCCGGUCAGCAGGAAAAGCCCCGCUUUUCUGAUUUUAGAAACAACGUAAGCAUGGUGUGUGCUCUGGCAGAUGUAGGACUGUACUGUAGUCAUCCUCAUCUCACCUCAUUUGGAUGGCCUUUCAGAUUCCGAAUGUUUGGGAUCAUUCCUAACAUUUCAGGCUCUUUACCUAGCAUUCUCCUGCUUCUGUACCUGUAUCCCAGCUGGCAUUUCCUCUUUCUUGUUUUGGGAACUACCAAGAGCCCCAAGGAUAGUCUGAGGAUGACCACCCAGGCUCUGGGGUCCCCCCUCCUGCUAAAAGGCCCCAGACAGAUGCCGUCAGAUAGACCUGAAGUUGCUGAGAGUAGCAGCUCACAGACAUCUUCAUUUGUUCCAGCUGAGGAUUUCAGUUCUGAAGUGAUCUAGCCAUGCACCCGCCCUGGCCAUCCUCACACAGAGCAAGGCCCUGUGGUCAGCCCUCAUGGGGAAGUGGGGGCCACCUGGAGCUGAUUUCCAUCUGUGUCCUGCACUCCCAGCCAACACGCUGUAUGGAAACAGUCGUCAUUUCCUCAGUGAUGGUGUGGUCUUAUAGUGAUGGUUGUAGUGGUGAAUGGCUAGUGUUGUUUUUCAAUUUUGUUUUGCUUUUUGAUGGUAGAUGAGAUGAAAUCUUAGCUCUUUCUUUCAGCACCAAUCCAACUUAAGAGCAUCUUGGAUUCAUUUUCCCUUCCAAACUAAAAGAUCAAGGCAUGUAUUAGGCAUAAAUUUAUUUACAGCCUCAACUCAUCCAGGGGCCGUAUUAGAAUGAAAACUUGCCUGCCACCAGAGCAGGCAGCUGCACACUCCUAACCCUUCUCCAGGGCUUGGGGUCCCUGGAUGCCAUGGAAGGCUAUUGCAAGAUGCUUCUGUAUUUUAAUAGCCUGGAAGUGGAGGGUGACUGGGCCUGGCUCCUGCUGUGAAAAGAGAACCAGCCUCAUUUUCUCAGUGCCCCAGAGAUCUGGGGCAGAAUUUCUAAACUGGAAUCAGCCCUCAUCGGCUUGAAGAUGCCCCAAGAGGUGUGUGACUAGGGCCACCAUCUGUGUCCUCACAGCAGCACUAGCGGCGGCCUCCGGUACCCGGGGCUUAACUCGAGCUGAUGACUCAGUCUGGAAGCUGGGCAACUAACUGGCCCUGAAAUGUUUCCCCAUCAGUAAGUCCACAGGGAAUUGUUUGGUUUUUAUGUUCUAUUGGAAUUUGGUUUGCUUGGCAUAGCUUAAGGUGCCUUUUCUUUUUUCCUUUCUACUUUGUUUUGUAGGACUUGUUGUAAAGGUAGAAAACAAGUCCCCAAAGCCCCUCCCACUGACUGUUAACCUUUGCCCAGGCAAUCCCAAACUUUUAUGCUCACAUUUUAUUAAAUAAAGCAGGUGCUCCCUGGAAUCUCUGGGACCUUUUUGAGGCAUUUGAAGCAGAAUAUAAAGAGUGGUCUCAUCUCCUUCCUUAAUCUUCCUGCUGGUUGGGAUGUUCCACUUGUAUCAUAGAUUUUUUAUUAUUGAUGUGCUCCGCUGUUUUUAAAUGUGAACUUGUGCGCAAAUGUGCAGAUUCAA